RNAcentral lists this ribosomal RNA (500 nucleotides) under uncultured bacterium. Its description in RNAcentral is "partial 16S ribosomal RNA". It matches the Rfam family "Bacterial small subunit ribosomal RNA", at positions 30 to 523 of the family's 1533-position model. The record is from RNAcentral.
AUUGAACGCUGGCGGAAUGCUUUACACAUGCAAGUCGAACGGCAGCACGGACUUCGGUCUGGUGGCGAGUGGCGGACGGGUGAGUAAUGUAUCGGAACGUGCCCAGUCGUGGGGGAUAACGUAGUGAAAAUUACGCUAAUACCGCAUACGAUCUAUGGAUGAAAGCGGGGGAUCGCAAGACCUCGCGCGAUUGGAGCGGCCGAUAUCAGAUUAGGUAGUUGGGGGGGUAAAGGCCCACCAAGCCAACGAUCUGUAGCUGGUCUGAGAGGACGACCAGCCACACUGGAACGGAGACACGGUCCAGACUCGUACGGGAGGCAGCAGUGGGGAAUUUUGGACAAGGGGCGAAAGCCUGAUCCAGCCAUUCCGCGUGCAGGAUGAAGGCCCUCGGGUUGUAAACUGCUUUUGUACAGAACGAAAAGGUUUCUACUAAUACUAGGAGCUCAUGACGGUACUGUAAGAAUAAGCACCGGCUAACUACGUGCCAGCAGCCGCGGUAA